ACACCUCAACUCUCAUGGUUUUGCCGUGACGAGCUUGGACUUUGGGGGACUUGCUGGCCCACGGUCAGCUCCUCUCAAAUGAAUCAGCUUACCAGUGUUCGGUGGCGUCAUGGGUGUGAUAACUAUCUACGCCUGUGGUCUCGCCCACCGUGUAACCUUCAGCGAUGGAGGUUCACUGGAGCUUAUAGACGUCUCUCCUCAGCGAAGACAGCCUUUUGAAC
Molecule: unclassified non-coding RNA, 221 nt
Filed under: uncultured Thelephoraceae
Lineage: Eukaryota; Fungi; Basidiomycota; Agaricomycetes; Thelephorales; Thelephoraceae
Description: sequence contains ITS2
Source: RNAcentral